Molecule: ribosomal RNA, 440 nt
Filed under: uncultured bacterium
Lineage: Bacteria
Description: partial 16S ribosomal RNA
Rfam family: Bacterial small subunit ribosomal RNA
Source: RNAcentral
CCUACGUGAGGCUGCAGUGGGGAAUAUUGCACAAUGGGGGAAACCCUGAUGCAGCGACGCCGCGUGAGUGAAGAAGUACUUCGUUAUGUAAAGCUCUUUCAGCAGGGAAGAAAAUGACGGUACCUGAGUAAGAAGCUCCGGCGAACUACGUGCCAGCAGCCGCGGUAAUACGUAGGGGGCAAGCGUUAUCCGGAUUUACUGGGUGUAAAGGGAGCGUAGACGGCAGUGCAAGUCUGGAGUGAAAGGCGGGGGCUCAACCCCCGGACUGCUCUGGAAACUGUACGGCUGGAGUGCAGGAGAGGUAAGUGGAAUUCCUAGUGUAGCGGUGAAAUGCGUAGAUAUUAGGAGGAACACCAAUGGCGAAGGCAGCUUACUGGGAUGUAACUGACGUUGAGGCACGAAAGCGUGGGGAGCAAACAGGAUUAGAUACCCGAGUAGUC